AUACGGAGGAUGCGAGCGUUAUCCGGAUUUAUUGGGUUUAAAGGGUGCGCAGGCGGGCGAUUAAGUCAGCGGUGAAAGGCUCGGGCUCAACCGGAGCAGUGCCGUUGAUACUGGUUGUCUUGAAUGCGGUCAAGGCCGGCGGAAUGUGGCGUGUAGCGGGGAAAUGCAUAGAUAUGCCACAGAACACCGAUAGCGAAGGCAGCUGGCCGGGCCUGCAUUGACGCUGAGGCACGAAAGCGUGGGGAUCGAACAGGAUUAGAUACCCUGGUAGUCCACGCUGUAAACGAUGGACACUCGUUGUCGGCGACAGACAGUCGGCGGCCAAGCGAAAGUGAUAAGUGUCCCACCUGGGGAGUACGGUCGCAAGGCUGAAACUCAAAUGAAUUGGCGGGG
RNAcentral lists this ribosomal RNA (393 nucleotides) under uncultured bacterium. RNAcentral describes it as "partial 16S ribosomal RNA". It matches the Rfam family "Bacterial small subunit ribosomal RNA", at positions 523 to 918 of the family's 1533-position model. The record is from RNAcentral.